Hylaeus volcanicus is the source of this 974-nucleotide long non-coding RNA. RefSeq lists it as uncharacterized. The transcript is spliced from 3 exons. The record is from RefSeq and is a predicted model, not a curated record. NCBI's taxonomy places the organism in Eukaryota, Metazoa, Arthropoda, Insecta, Hymenoptera, Colletidae.
CGCCGGCGCUGUAAGACAACAUUAAAGGUGACGGACUUUCAACGGUAACGAGGAAGACGAUAUAUGAUUUGACUACAGUUGACUGUAGUUAGUCGACGACAUAUGGUCUGUGCAAACAUACGUGAAUAGAGAGCGCUCAGUUAAUUUUUAUUUCGGCAGUUUUUUCUUUCAUUAUUGUAUUCAACUUUAAACAAUAUUAUAUAAUAAUUGUUCCUUAUUCAAGUUCAUUAUUAAUUGUACAUCAUUAAUCUUUCAAUAUGAAGAUUUUUCAACAAUUUUAAAAAGGGAUCACGAGUCGCUGAAAGUGAAUAGUCGUCUCGGACGAAGUCGAAUCGCAACGGACACCUGGAUAAAGAGAAGGAACGUCUUCGGGGUUGCUCGCCUGACGCGGCUAGGAACCCCAAGACAAUAUAACACACAAAAGUCUCGCUUGGCUAGUCACUUACGCUUCCUCUUCCUUGAGUUUUACCCGGGAAUCUCGCCACCUAUUUUCCCUCCUUUCAACCCCUACUCGUGAUUUCCGCGUCCCUCCGCCCCUGACGUUCUUCCGUUCUUCUUCGUCACGGCAGCUGGGCUACACACCACGGAAAAGUAUUACGUGCAUCCUGUUCGUGAUGAAAGGGUCUCAGUUUCCUUCCUCGGGGGUUGUUGUCCCUUCGCGAUUGUUCGCUGAAAUCUUGCCGAGAUCAACGAUCGCAUCCUACACCCUUCUGCGAACUCUUCCCCUAGGUCGAUUCGACUGACUGUCGAGCGUUAGAUUCCUUAUUUUUUGCGAUUUAGAGCUGUUGCUUUGUUAGUCAUAGAUAGAAGAUAUGAUGCAUAUAAUCGAGUGGACUGCAUACGGAGUUUUUAGAUACUAGAUACAAAUUUCAAAGGCAAAACGAAGUGUCAUUGAUGCGGUGACUUGGUAUCGACAACUACUUGCUGAACGAAACAGGCCUAGACAAACAACUUUCGAUGACUUUGUCACAAAA